Molecule: transfer-messenger RNA, 364 nt
Filed under: Paenibacillaceae
Lineage: Bacteria; Bacillati; Bacillota; Bacilli; Caryophanales
Also listed under: 1 other name
Description: Paenibacillus_T curdlanolyticus Standard tmRNA
Rfam family: transfer-messenger RNA
About the family: Bacterial tmRNA, also known as 10Sa RNA or SsrA, is named for its dual tRNA and mRNA-like properties. Its role is to liberate the mRNA from a stalled ribosome.
Source: RNAcentral
GGGGGCGUUUAUGGAUUCGACGGGGGUAGUUCGAGCAUGGGUUGCGGGUAGUGGGGAGCGUCCGCUUCAUCAACGCUAAAGCCAAUUAACUGGCAAACAACAAACUUCUUACGCUGUAGCAGCUUAAUAACCUGCUCGCGUGCUCUCGCUCUGUAUCGCCCAUGUACCGGGAUGAGGGCCCAACUUUAGUGGGAUACGCUGUCACAUCUCCGCCUGGGGUGUGCUGAAGAAGACAAUCAGGCUGACCUAGAUCGAAGCCGGUUACGGGGCGUUGACCUAGGUGACAUCAAAUCCGUGACUACACCCGUAGAAGCCUGUGUGGCGUUAUCUUCGGACAGGGGUUCAAAUCCCCUCGCCUCCACCA